This 64-nucleotide transfer RNA is filed under the name Cryptolaemus montrouzieri. RNAcentral's name for it is "tRNA-Asn". The record is from RNAcentral. Lineage: Eukaryota; Metazoa; Arthropoda; Insecta; Coleoptera; Coccinellidae.
UUAAUUGAAACCAAAAAGAGGUAAAUCACUGUUAAUGAUUUCAAUGAAUUAAAUUCCAAUUAAA